AAAUCCACGAACACCUUCGCUUUAGAGAUGCCAGGGAUUUGGAAAAGGGGAAAUAGUCAUCAGGAAGGAGGAUGUGGCGGCGGCGGAUGGAAGAUGAUGUGGUUGCAACGUCUUCAAGUUCUGUUUGCCGAAAGAAGCAGAUAUGCAGUAGCUACUGGAUCUUCUACUGGCACAUAACAAUUGUGGAUCAAAGCACUUGCUAGUCUUGAUCAUUGCGAGGGGUGGACGGACGAAGAAUAGUUUCAUUGCAAGCCCGUGAUAAUUGGUAUCAGAGAAGGAUAAUUCUACAUGGAUUUCCACAUGUACAUUAUAAUGUACAUGUAGUAUAGCCUCGGAGAAAAUAUAUGUGUUUUCCUUCUCUUUGGCAAACGUUGAAAUAAUUAUCCUUAAGUGACAUUACUAUCUGGCACUGCAAUAAAGAUGUUGGGAAAAGAGGUCUCUUUUGCUUUGUAUUUU
This is a long non-coding RNA of Olea europaea var. sylvestris, 456 nucleotides long. RefSeq lists it as uncharacterized. NCBI's taxonomy places the organism in Eukaryota, Viridiplantae, Streptophyta, Magnoliopsida, Lamiales, Oleaceae. The transcript is spliced from 2 exons. The record is from RefSeq and is a predicted model, not a curated record.